This 297-nucleotide RNase P RNA is filed under the name Neotoma lepida (desert woodrat). RNAcentral describes it as "Nuclear RNase P". It matches the Rfam family "Nuclear RNase P". From Rfam's summary of the family: Ribonuclease P (RNase P) is a ubiquitous endoribonuclease, found in archaea, bacteria and eukarya as well as chloroplasts and mitochondria. Its best characterised activity is the generation of mature 5'-ends of tRNAs by cleaving the 5'-leader elements of precursor-tRNAs. The record is from Rfam by way of RNAcentral. Lineage: Eukaryota; Metazoa; Chordata; Mammalia; Rodentia; Cricetidae.
GGAGAGGGAAGCUUAUCAGCAAGCCUUGCAGAGUGCUUAUCACUCCCAGCCCCUGGGAAGGUCUGAGACAGGGCCCUUGCAUAGGCUUAAUAGAGGUGCUCUUGGAGCAGGGAGCUGAGUUUCCAGGAAGCAAGGCUUCAAGAGAGGGCAAGUGGACUGAGCAGGAAAGGCCAUGGGCACAGAGAAUGUACCCNUCACUGGAGCUUAAAACUGACUCACUGCCAGCAGCAAGCUCAAUGGCUAAGGAGAGGCAUCUGGAAGGCCUCAUAACAGCAAUUCAGAUUACUCUUUUCCUGC